ACCUAGCUGGCUCAGUCCGUAGAGCAUGUGACUCAAGAUUUCAGGGUUGUGAAUUCGAGCCCCACGUUGGGCA
Transfer RNA from Felis catus (domestic cat), 73 nucleotides. It matches the Rfam family "tRNA". Rfam says of the family: Transfer RNA (tRNA) molecules are approximately 80 nucleotides in length. Their secondary structure includes four short double-helical elements and three loops (D, anti-codon, and T loops). Lineage: Eukaryota; Metazoa; Chordata; Mammalia; Carnivora; Felidae. The record is from Rfam.